RNAcentral lists this microRNA (22 nucleotides) under Echinococcus granulosus. RNAcentral describes it as "egr-miR-10271-5p". Lineage: Eukaryota; Metazoa; Platyhelminthes; Cestoda; Cyclophyllidea; Taeniidae. The record is from miRBase by way of RNAcentral.
CGUGGGGCUUGUGGUACUUCUG